UGGGCGACCGUGGUAGUAACAGAGGGUUCGAUUAUGGCUCAGAUUGAACGCUGGCGGGAUGUUUACACAUGCAAGUCGACCGCAGCAAUGGACUUCAUUCAAAGGAGUGGCGAAGGAAACGGGUGAGUAAUAACGGAACGUGCCUAGUAGCGGGGAUAAUCGCAGCGCGAAAGUGAAGCAUUACCGCACACGAUACCCUUCGGGGGAAAGCGGGGACCUUCGGGCCGCACCGCUAGAGUGCUGAUAUCGGAUUAGCUAGUUGGUGGGGUAACGGCUCACCAUACAUUUAUCCAGCUGGUUUGAGAGGACGACCAGCCACACUGGGACUGAGACACGGCCCAGACUCCUACGGGAGGCAGCAGUGGGGAAUUUUGGAUAAAUGGGGAAACCUGAUCCAGCCAUCAUCCUGCGUGCAUGGGCUACCGGGUUAAAGCAUUUUGGUAGGUGAACGGCACGGGAUAAUACCCUGUAACUGAUUGGUACCCGCAGAAUAAGCACCGGCUAACUACGUGCCAGCAGCCGCGGUAAUACGUAGGGGUGCAAGCGUUAAUCGGAAUUACUGGGCGCAAGCGUGCGCAGGCGGUUCGGAAAGAAAGAUGUGAAAUCCCAGAGCUUAACUUUGAACUGCAUUUUUAACUACCAAUAGAGCCAGAUGUGUCAGAGGGAGGUGAAUCUGCAGGUGAAAUGCGGUGAUACGUGGAGGAAACACCGACGGCGAAGGCAGCCCUGGGAUAACACUGACGCUCAUGCACGAAAGCGUGGGGGACAAGAGAUUAGAUAACCUGGUAGUCCACGCCCUAAAUGAUGCUUGGAAUGGAAUGUUAGCCUUCAGCCUUGGUAGCAGCGACCGUGAAGUUGACCGCCUGGGGGAGUACUGGCUGCAAGACAAAACCGGAAGAAUAGACGGGACCGCAAGUGUGGAGAUGAUGUGGAGAUUGAACGAUGCCCGGAAACUUACCACCUGAGAAUGUUACCUGGAGUCCCGAAGAGAUUUGGAGAGUGCUCGCAAGAGAACCGGAACACAGGUGCCGGUAUAUUGCCGUCAGCUCGUGUCGUGAUGUUAAAGGCCAAGUCCGCAACGAGCGCAACCCUUGUCACGAAGGUACUACAGGCGGGGCACUGACGAGACUGCUGGUGACAAACCGAGGAAGGUGGGGAUGACGUCAAGUCCUUCAUAAUUUUAUGUGGUGGAUUCCUACACGUUAUACAAAUGGUCGGGACAGGAGGGCCGCCAACCCGCGAGGGGAGCCAAUCCCAGAAACCCGAUCAGUCCGAUCGCAGGUUCGCAACUCGACUGCGUGAAGUCGGAAUCGCUAGUAAUCGCGGAUCAGCAUACUGCAGUAGGCGUUCCUCGUGGGUCUUGUACACACCGCCCGUCACACCAUGGGAGUGGGUUUUACCAGAAGCGAACAGCUUAACCGCAAGGAGGGCGAUUACCACGGUAGGAUUCAUGACUGGGGUGAAGUCGUAACAAGGUAG
This 1479-nucleotide ribosomal RNA is filed under the name uncultured Bordetella sp. RNAcentral describes it as "partial 16S-23S ribosomal RNA intergenic spacer". It matches the Rfam family "Bacterial small subunit ribosomal RNA". The record is from RNAcentral. Lineage: Bacteria; Pseudomonadati; Pseudomonadota; Betaproteobacteria; Burkholderiales; Alcaligenaceae.